This 110-nucleotide ribosomal RNA is filed under the name Staphylococcus sp. M0911. The record is from RNAcentral. Lineage: Bacteria; Bacillati; Bacillota; Bacilli; Caryophanales; Staphylococcaceae.
UGGUGGCAAUAGCAAAGAGGUCACACCUGUUCCCAUGCCGAACACAGAAGUUAAGCUCUUUAGCGCCGAUGGUAGUCGGACUAACGUUCCGCUAGAGUAGGACGUUGCCA